Molecule: unclassified non-coding RNA, 281 nt
Filed under: Glomeraceae sp.
Lineage: Eukaryota; Fungi; Glomeromycota; Glomeromycetes; Glomerales; Glomeraceae
Description: partial contains 5.8S ribosomal RNA and internal transcribed spacer 2
Rfam family: 5.8S ribosomal RNA (bases 1-65)
Source: RNAcentral
GUGAAUCAUCGAAUUUUUGAACGCAAAUUGCACUCUCCUCGGAGAGUAUGCCUGUUUGAGGGUCAGCAUAUAAAAAAUCGACAUCGUUGCUGUUUCGCGGUGUCGUUCGUCGGAAAUUGGGUAAUCUUAAAUCCUUUUGGUUUUAAGCGACUUAAAAAUUUUUUUUUGGUUCCAUGAACGUUUCUAAGAUUUAUUUAUUUAAACGUUUAAGGUAUCGAUUUUUAUUAGACGUGAUCAUCAUAUAGGAUUGCGUUCAUAAUCUUUCAUUAAAUGAUCUCAGA